Molecule: ribosomal RNA, 2228 nt
Filed under: Selaginella bryopteris
Lineage: Eukaryota; Viridiplantae; Streptophyta; Lycopodiopsida; Selaginellales; Selaginellaceae
Description: bacterial LSU rRNA
Rfam family: Bacterial large subunit ribosomal RNA
Source: RNAcentral
UCAAGCUAGUAAGGGCAUUCGGUGGAUGCCUUGGCACCAAGAGGCGAUGAAGGACGUGGCAAAACUGCGAUAAGCCACGGGGAGCCGUAAGCAGGCGUUGAUCCGUUGAUCUCCGAAUCGGAAAACCGUCGUCGAGGAAAGUCGACGAGGCCCCGAGCUGAAUACAUAGGCUCGGGGAGGCGAACGAGGGGAACUGAAACAUCUCAGUACCCGCAGGAAAAGAAAUCAACCGAGAUUCUCCUAGUAGCGGCGAGCGAACGGGGAGGAGCCCAAACCGGGUCGGCGCACGAGCCAGUCGGCGCUGCCGUCCCGGGGUAGAACGCGAUCGGUGGAGGGGGCGACUGACCCCUCGCUGGGAGCGACCGGCGUCAGACGAAGGGUGCUGGAACGGCACACCAGAGAGGGUGAGAGUCCCGUAGGCGAAACGUGGGUGGCGUGGGUGAUCGGGCACCUGAGUACCGCGGAGCACGUGGAAUUCCGUGGGAAGCUGGGGGGACCACCCUCCAAGGCGAAAUACUCGUGACGACCGAUAGUGAACGAGUACCGUGAGGGAAAGGUGAAAAGAACCCCGGAAGGGGAGUGAAAUAGAUCCUGAAACCGCAUGCUUACAAAAAGUCGGAGCCCGCAAGGGUGACGGCGUACCUUUUGUAUAAUGGGUCAGCGACUUAUAUUCUGUAGCAAGGUUAACCGAAUAGGGGAGCCGUAGGGAAACCGAGUCUUAAUAGGGCGACUAGUUGCAUGCCGUAGACCCGAAACCGGGUGACCUAUCCAUGGCCAGGUUGAAGCGAGGGUAAAACUUCGUGGAGGACCGAACCACGUUGCUGUUGAAAAAGCAUGGGAUGAGCUGUGGAUAGCGGAGAAAUUCCAAUCGAACUCGGAGAUAGCUGGUUCUCCCCGAAAUGCAUUUAGGUGCAGCGUUGCGUGUUUCGUGCCGGAGGUAGAGCACUGGAUAGGCGAUGGGCCCCACCGGGUUACUGACCUUAGCCAAACUCCGAAUGCCGGUAAGUGAGAGCAUGGCAGUGAGACUGCGGGGGAUAAGCUCCGUAGUCGAGAGGGAAACAGCCCAGAACAUCAGCUAAGGCCCCUAAGCGUGUGCUAAGUGGGGAAGGAUGUGGAGUUGCACAGACAACCAGGAGGUUGGCUUGGAGGCAGCCAUCCUUGAAAGAGUGCGUAAUAGCUCACUGGUCAAGUGAUUCCGCGCCGACAAUGUAGCGGGGCUCAAGUACACCGCCGAAACCGUGGCAUUCAAGCUUUUGUUUGGAUGGGUAGGGGAGCGUCGUGCACGAGGUGAAGCCAGCGGGGAACUUCUGGUGGAUUGUGUACGAGUGAGAAUGCAGGCAUGAGUAGCGAAAGACGGGUGAGAAACCCGUCCGCCGGAUGACCAAGGGUUCCAGGGUCAAGCUAAUCUGCCCUGGGUAAGUCGGGACCUAAGGCGAGGCCGACAGGCGUAGUCGAUGGACAACGGGUUGAUAUUCCCGUACCCGCGAAGAAGCGUCCCUGCCGAACCUCACUGUGCUAACCACGUGAGUUAGUGGCGGACUUCGGUCCAAAUCUAACAAGCCUGGGAUCCUGGUGGGUAGUAGGCAAGCGAUGGGGUGACGCAGGAAGGUAGCUGAGCCCGGUGAGUGGUUGUGCCGGGGUAAGCGUGUAGCCCGCGCCAUAGGCAAAUCCGUGGCGCACGAGGGUGAGGCCUGACGCAUAGCCGAAUGAGGCGAAUGGGAUGAUCCUAUGCUGCCGAGAAAAGCCUCUAGCGAGUGUUCAUGCGGCCCGUACCCCAAACCGACACAGGUGGUCAGGGUGAGAAUCCCAAGGCGCUUGAGAGAACUCCGGUUAAGGAACUAGGCAAAUUGUAGCCGUACCUUCGGAAGAAGGCUAGCCCUCUGGUGUGUAGUGCACAACGAAGCAUCGGGAGGUCGCAGAGAAAUGGGGGUUGCGACUGUUUACCAAAAACACAGGUCUCUGCCAACCCGCAAGGGGACGUAUAGGGGCUGACACCUGCCCAGUGCCGGAAGGUUAAGAGGAGCGGUCAGGCGCAAGCCGAAGCUGCGAAUUGAAGCCCCGGUGAACGGCGGCCGUAACUAUAACGGUCCUAAGGUAGCGAAAUUCCUUGUCGGGUAAGUUCCGACCCGCACGAAUGGCCUCAUGAGUGGAGCACUGUCUCAACGAAGGACCCGGCGAAAUUGAAGUACGUGUGAAGAUGCGCGUUACCCGCACUAGGACAAAAAGAC